Zingiber officinale is the source of this 1186-nucleotide long non-coding RNA. RefSeq lists it as uncharacterized. NCBI's taxonomy places the organism in Eukaryota, Viridiplantae, Streptophyta, Magnoliopsida, Zingiberales, Zingiberaceae. The record is from RefSeq and is a predicted model, not a curated record. The transcript is spliced from 2 exons.
GAUGGACAUGGGGUUCCCUGACCAACCACUUCGAUGCUCAAAUCAAUUUUUGAAGGAGGUGGAGGUUCUGGAACGAAGAGAAGAGGUUUAGGGUUUGUGAUGCAUGUCUUCGCAUACUUAUGCCUGUAGGGUGCAAAAUUUCUAGAUCCAUGCCAGCUCCCCUUGGUCCCAACAAUAGCUGUCAUGCGAGCAAAGGCAUCCCUAACACAGGUGGAUCUCACCCUUCUGAAGUAAUUGAGAGAGGAUCUGGCCAUAGAGUUGAUAGAAAUCGACCAACUGAGGAAAAUCAUAGCUAAAGGGAAGUCAAACAGUGUUCGGGCAAAGUACAACUUGGACUGGUUGAAAAGGAAGAUUGAUUCCCUCGAGGUCCAGAUUAAGGGACUGGAGUUGGGAAAGAAAAAGCACUGGAAGGAGAUAAAGAGGCUGAAAGCUGUCUUGGAGGCCUAAGAGCUAGACGAUGCCAGGGAUUGCUAAAGCAAAGACAGAAACCACUAAGGCUGAACUAGAUGCCAGCCAGAAAGAACUCAGGAUUUUGGAGGUGGAACUAGGAGCCACUUGAAACGAGGUCGAGUCUAGAAAGCCUUGGCAGAGGCCUGACUGCACGAGUUAGAGCUCGUUCAUGCUGAAGUGGAGACGACCAAAGCUAAAGUUAAGAGCAAGCUUCAGGCAGCGUUGGAAAUUGCUCAUAAGGAUGCGAAAUAUGCCAAAGCCCUAGCGAAGACCUGACUGCAUGAAUUAGAAUUCAUCCGUGUUGAGAUAGGGGCAGCCAAAGCUAAAGUUGAGGCCCUCAGAGCUUCUAAUGAUGAACUACAGGCAGUGCUCGGAGCCCAAAGAAACUAGCUAGAAAGUAAAAUGGCCGAGCUCCAAAAAUAUCAUGCUAGGGAGGGCGAGCGUUGGGCCACAAAAAAGAAGAAAUUCCUGCGCUCAGAGGAAUUUUUUUUUAUUUAAUCGACACACAUCUCGUCUAAAUGUUGCAAUAUCAAUAUGGAAUGGAUGGUGAAAUCAAGUAGCUGCUGAAGAAUGUGAACUUGCCUGCCGACAAGCCUUCGCCAACUAUUAGCUUGACAAAGAUCACUAAUAGCAUUCCGAGAAGAUGUAGCAGACUUAACUUGUUAUUUUCCCUAUCUCCUGGAUAGUUUUAACUGUUGUAAUCAAUGUCCUCAUGAACUGAAAAAAUCUUGAGUCU